AAGCAGGAUUAGACAAUCUCUAUUUAAAAGGGUGGGAAAACACGUAAUGCUAGGUGUGUAGGUACUGAAUGAAUGUUGUAUUUCUUCCCUGUUACAACAAUUGUGAGAUGUAUUCUAAUGAUGUUUUAUUGCUAUAGAUCAUAGAUGUCCCAAAGAACAAAGAAAAGAUAAAUGAUGAAUUGCUCACAAGAAGUGGCUUCAGGGAUUUCUUCAGGGAUGUCUGUGUUUGGAAAUUAAGCUGGGAAUGAUGUUGAAUCCAUGCAUCUUAGACUCCGUAGGAUAUAGAUGGAGAAACUGGAGCAGAGAGUUAUUUCAGUAACUCAAUU
Molecule: long non-coding RNA, 326 nt
Filed under: Sarcophilus harrisii (Tasmanian devil)
Lineage: Eukaryota; Metazoa; Chordata; Mammalia; Dasyuromorphia; Dasyuridae
Description: lncRNA (ENSSHAG00000027488.1)
Source: RNAcentral